GAAUUGGCUGAUAGUUUUCUUUGGAUUGUAUGUAGACAAAUUAGAAUGCCCAUUUAAAAGUACUAUUUGCAGCCAACAUAAAUUCUGUAUCAUUAUGGUUGAAGCAUGAGCUAAAUCCAGGAUUUUGUUUCGAAUCUGAGACAAAAGUACCCAAUCCCUUUUAUAAUUGUACCCAGAAACAAGACCGGGGAAGUUCUGAGGGAGCUGAGGCAUCACGCCAAUACAGGACGAUUCUAUGCUCACUUGUCCACAGAGGUCCGAUUCACCAAGGCUGAUGACAUCAUGAUCAGUCCAGCCAAUGGGAGAGAGACCUGCUACAUCAACAUCAUUCAUUUUAAACCUUAUGGAAGACCAACAUUCAACAAGAAAUACUGGGAUGUGUAUGAGGACAUUGUAAAGAGAGCAGGCGGUCGACCACAUUGGGCUAAGGAACACCCUAUGAGGAACAAGGAUUUAUCAGAGCUCUAUCCAAGAUGGUCUGAGUUCUGUGGUCUGCGUAAGAAGCUGGA
Molecule: long non-coding RNA, 509 nt
Organism: Strongylocentrotus purpuratus (purple sea urchin)
Lineage: Eukaryota; Metazoa; Echinodermata; Echinoidea; Camarodonta; Strongylocentrotidae
Exons: 3
Source: RefSeq, a predicted model, not a curated record